GCUUUCGUGGUGUAGUGGUCAGCACACUCGACGUGUAACCGAGAGGUCCGUGGUUCGAUUCCCGGGGAAGGCG
This is a non-coding RNA of Stegodyphus mimosarum, 73 nucleotides long. Lineage: Eukaryota; Metazoa; Arthropoda; Arachnida; Araneae; Eresidae. The record is from Rfam.